UACGUAGGGAGCAAGCGUUGUUCGGAAUCAUUGGGCGUAAAGCGCGCGUAGGUGGCCUCAUAAGUCCGCUGUGAAAGUCCAAGGCUCAACCUUGGAAAGCCGGUGGAUACUGUGAGGCUAGAGUACGGAAGAGGCGAGUGGAAUUCCUGGUGUAGCGGUGGAAUGCGCAGAUAUCAGGAGGAACACCAAUAGCGAAGGCAGCUCGCUGGGACGUUACUGACGCUGAGGCGCGAAAGCGUGGGGAGCAAACAGG
Molecule: ribosomal RNA, 253 nt
Filed under: uncultured bacterium
Lineage: Bacteria
Description: partial 16S ribosomal RNA
Rfam family: Bacterial small subunit ribosomal RNA
Source: RNAcentral